RNAcentral lists this ribosomal RNA (465 nucleotides) under uncultured bacterium. RNAcentral describes it as "partial 16S ribosomal RNA". It matches the Rfam family "Bacterial small subunit ribosomal RNA", at positions 28 to 507 of the family's 1533-position model. The record is from RNAcentral.
GACGAACGCUGGCGGCGUGCUUAACACAUGCAAGUCGUACGGUAAGGCCCUUUCGGGGGUCCACGAGUGGCGAACGGGUGAGUAACACGUGAGUAACCUGCCCACAACUUUGGGAUAACGCUAGGAAACUGGUGCUAAUACUGGAUAUGUGCUCCUGCUGCAUGGUGGGGGUUGGAAAGCUCCGGCGGUUGUGGAUGGACUCGCGGCCUAUCGGCUUGUUGGUGGGGUAGUGGCCUACCAAGGCGGCGACGGGUAGCCGGCCUGAGAGGGUGACCGGCCACAUUGGGACUGAGAUACGGCCCAGACUCCGACGGGAGGCAGCAGGGGGGAAUAUUGCACAAUGGGCGCAAGCCGGAUGCAGCAACGCCGCGGGCGGGAUGACGGCCUUCGGGUUGUAAACCGCUUUCAGCAGGGACGAAGCUUUUUGUGACGGUACCUGCAGAAGAAGCACCGGCUAACUACGUG